AGCAGUAGCCACGGUAAUACGGAGGGUGCAAGCGUUAUCCGGAUUUAUUGGGUUUAAAGGGUCCGUAGGCUGAUCUGUAAGUCAGUGGUGAAAUCUCACAGCUUAACUGUGAAACUGCCAUUGAUACUGCAGGUCUUGAGUAAAUUUGAAGUGGCUGGAAUAAGUAGUGUAGCGGUGAAAUGCAUAGAUAUUACUUAGAACACCAAUUGCGAAGGCAGGUCACUAAGAUUUAACUGACGCUGAUGGACGAAAGCGUGGGGAGCAAACAGGAUUAGAUACCCCUGUAGUCCCUGUCUCUUAUAC
Molecule: ribosomal RNA, 303 nt
Filed under: uncultured bacterium
Lineage: Bacteria
Description: partial 16S ribosomal RNA
Rfam family: Bacterial small subunit ribosomal RNA
Source: RNAcentral